GACAGCAGUCGCCGCGGGAAUACAGAGGGUGCGAGCGUUAAUCGGAUUUACUGGGCGUAAAGCGUGCGUAGGCGGCUUUUUAAGUCGGAUGUGAAAUCCCUGAGCUUAACUUAGGAAUUGCAUUCGAUACUGGGAAGCUAGAGUAUGGGAGAGGAUGGUAGAAUUCCAGGUGUAGCGGUGAAAUGCGUAGAGAUCUGGAGGAAUACCGAUGGCGAAGGCAGCCAUCUGGCCUAAUACUGACGCUGAGGUACGAAAGCAUGGGGAGCAAACAGGAUUAGAUACCCGCGUAGUCCCUGUCUCUUAUAC
This 306-nucleotide ribosomal RNA is filed under the name uncultured bacterium. Its description in RNAcentral is "partial 16S ribosomal RNA". It matches the Rfam family "Bacterial small subunit ribosomal RNA", at positions 507 to 807 of the family's 1533-position model. The record is from RNAcentral.